This 341-nucleotide ribosomal RNA is filed under the name Boleodorus thylactus. Its description in RNAcentral is "SSU rRNA". It matches the Rfam family "Eukaryotic small subunit ribosomal RNA", at positions 601 to 945 of the family's 1831-position model. Lineage: Eukaryota; Metazoa; Nematoda; Chromadorea; Rhabditida; Tylenchidae. The record is from RNAcentral.
AUAGAAUUAUUGCUGCGGUUAAAAAGCUCGUAGUUGGAUCUGUGCGACGGGAGUCGGUCCAGCCUCACGGCUGCGCUACUGACCACCCGCGCUUUCCGGUCGGUUUUCGCGUCGUGGCUUUCAUCGGCUGCGGCGCGUGGCUGACGAGUUUACUUUGAACAAAUCAGAGUGCUUAACACAGGCGUUUCGCUUGAAUGUUCUUGCAUGGAAUAAUAGAAGAGGAUCGCGGUCCGAUUUUAUUGGUUUUAUGGACUGAGAUAAUGGUUAACAGAGACAAACGGGGGCAUUCGUACCGCUGCGUGAGAGGUGAAAUUCUUGGACCGCAGCGAGACGAACUACAG